Molecule: long non-coding RNA, 1293 nt
Organism: Patella vulgata (common limpet)
Lineage: Eukaryota; Metazoa; Mollusca; Gastropoda; Patellidae
Exons: 3
Source: RefSeq, a predicted model, not a curated record
CUGUCUUCAUUAGCCCAGUCGGCGCAGAAAGUGCAUUACGUUGAUAUUCCUGACCUUCGUUGAUAUCUUAAUACAGAGUGGAUAAAUUCUGUUAAUAUCUUUAUGUGAUGUCCAGGUAUAUAAGAUGACUGUAGAACUGUUGUACUUCACAAUCAAGUUUCUGGUCCAGGCUGAAGAAGAUUGACAGUAAAUACAGUAUGAAGACCUUUCUCGUUUUAGUAUUGUGUGUGUUGGGAUUAAACUUGACGACGUGUGAAAACCAAGCUCGAUUGUCCAGACAGAAGAGGCAGUAUUCGUCUUCUUCGUCGUCCACGUCAAGUUCUUCGAAUCCAGUAGAUUACUACCAAGUCAUACAAUCACGAUACGAUCUGGAACGACGAGAAGCUGUUCUCAGAUACCAACAAGAGGUUAUUGAAUCCAGGCAGCGAUUUCGACAAGAACGCUUGGAGGCAGCACAAAGAUUCCGAGAAGAAGAACUACGAUUUGAGUUAGAGCAGGCUGAAGCGAUUCAGAGAUACAACCAGGGGUUGACUUCUCUCGCUGACGUCAUGGCCUUACAGGUUAAUGACGUCACGUCUUUUGAGGACAACGUUAAUCACUCUUUAGGCGAUGAGAAUUUAUUGUCUCGACGCAAGAGAUCACAUGACGAGGACGCCGAGGAAGACGUUGAUAUAGGUAUCAGUAACCGAGGUAACUACGCAGGGCUUAAUUUCGGAUCAAGUUCUGGGGACAACAAUAAAGACGCAUCCAGUGAUCAAAGGCACACCACGUGGACCCGGAGAUAAUGGCAAACUAACAUAUCUAUAAUCUCGAACAUUUUCUAUUUAUAUUGGAGUACUCAUUUAACAAAGUGAUAAAAUGGGCUAAUAGUUUCCAUGAAUAUUUAACAUGCUUGUUAGACCAAUUUGAUUAAAACACAGAUACUAUUUCGUUUCGUUCUUUAUAGUUCAAAAUUUCGUUUUACUUGUCUUUACUACACUAGGAUCGGGAAGAGUUGUUAUAUUACCGGCAUUUUAGUUGAAGUGAGGGAUAAGUCAAUGAAACGGUCUGUUACGGCGAGUUCUUGGCGUGUUGUGGUUAAACCAUGGACCGUGUAUAGGGUCCAUGGUUAAACCACUAGAAACGUCAACGCUGAUAGAUUAAUCAAUGUCUGACGUUAUAUAGUCAAAAGCCACUCGUACGACCCCUGACAUGACCUUCGAGUACAACUUGUCAGAUCUUCAUGUAGUGUAGGCCAUCGAAAGUAUAAAAAAACGAAACGAAAUAUAGAUCUCUAUUUAAUCAGAUUGGUUA